This 470-nucleotide ribosomal RNA is filed under the name uncultured bacterium. RNAcentral describes it as "bacterial SSU rRNA". It matches the Rfam family "Bacterial small subunit ribosomal RNA", at positions 22 to 518 of the family's 1533-position model. The record is from RNAcentral.
CGUCAGGAUGAACGCUGGCGGCGUGCCUAACACAUGCAAGUCGAGCGAUUCUCUUCGGAGAAGAGCGGCGGACGGGUGAGUAACGCGUGGGUAACCUGCCUCAUACACAUGGAUAACAUACCGAAAGGUAUGCUAAUACAGGAUAAUGUAAGAGAUUCACAUGGAUUUCUUAUCAAAGCUCCGGCGGUAUGAGAUGGACCCGCGUCUGAUUAGCUAGUUGGUAAGGUAAUGGCUUACCAAGGCGACGAUCAGUAGCCGACCUGAGAGGGUGAUCGGCCACAUUGGAACUGAGACACGGUCCAGACUCCUACGGGAGGCAGCAGUGGGGAAUAUUGCACAAUGGGCGAAAGCCUGAUUGCAGCAACGCCGCGUGAGUGAUGAAGGCCUUCGGGUCGUAAAACUCUGUCCUCAAGGAAGAUAAUGACGGUACUUGAGGAGGAAGCCCCGGCUAACUACGUGCCAGCCGCCGC